RNAcentral lists this ribosomal RNA (383 nucleotides) under uncultured eukaryote. RNAcentral's name for it is "partial 18S ribosomal RNA". It matches the Rfam family "Eukaryotic small subunit ribosomal RNA", at positions 592 to 976 of the family's 1831-position model. The record is from RNAcentral.
CAAUAGCGUAUAUUAAAGUUGUUGCAGUUAAAAAGCUCGUAGUUGGAUUACUGGUGGGAGCGAUCGGUCUGGCGCUUAGCGCGAGUACUUGCAUCGUCUCCGGCCAUCCUUGGGGAGAGUCUGUCUGGCAUUAAGUUGUCGGGCAGAGGAUCCUCAUCGUUUACUGUGAAAAAAUUAGAGUGUUCAAAGCAGGCUUAUGCCGUUGAAUAUAUUAGCAUGGAAUAAUAAGAUAGGACUUUGGUACUAUUUUGUUGGUUUGCGCACCAAAGUAAUGAUUAAUAGGGACAGUUGGGGGUAUUCGUAUUCCGUUGUCAGAGGUGAAAUUCUUGGAUUUACGGAAGACGAACUACUGCGAAAGCAUUUACCAAGGAUGUUUUCAUUAA